Molecule: ribosomal RNA, 697 nt
Filed under: Aeneolamia albofasciata
Lineage: Eukaryota; Metazoa; Arthropoda; Insecta; Hemiptera; Cercopidae
Description: SSU rRNA
Rfam family: Eukaryotic small subunit ribosomal RNA
Source: RNAcentral
GUCGGUGUCAACUGGCAUGUCCUGUGGAACGUCCUGCCGGUGGCGGACCGGGCUUUCGGCUUGCGUAAGGGCUUACGCCCGAAGCAGGCCGAACAGUACCGGCCGCCGGUCCAAUCCCGCCACGGUGCUCUUCACCGAGUGUCGAGGUGGGCCGGCACGUUUACUUUGAACAAAUUAGAGUGCUUAAAGCAGGCUGGUGUCCGCCUGAAUACUGUGUGCAUGGAAUAAUAGAAUAGGACCUCGGUUCUAUUUUGUUGGUUUUCGGAACCCGAGGUAAUGAUUAAUAGGGACAGGCGGGGGCAUUCGUAUUGCGACGUUAGAGGUGAAAUUCUUGGAUCGUCGCAAGACGAACCUAAGCGAAAGCAUUUGCCAAGUAUGUUCUCGUUAAUCAAGAACGAAAGUUAGAGGUUCGAAGGCGAUCAGAUACCGCCCUAGUUCUAACCAUAAACGAUGCCAGCCAGCGAUCCGCCGAAGUUCCUCCGAUGACUCGGCGGGCAGCUUCCGGGAAACCAAAGCUUUUGGGUUCCGGGGGAAGUAUGGUUGCAAAGCUGAAACUUAAAGGAAUUGACGGAAGGGCACCACCAGGAGUGGAGCCUGCGGCUUAAUUUGACUCAACACGGGAAACCUCACCAGGCCCGGACACCGGAAGGAUUGACAGAUUGAGAGCUCUUUCUUGAUUCGGUGGGUGGUGGUGCAU